GCUGGGCAUUGUGGCUGGUGCCUGUCAUCCCAGCUCCCAGAGAGGCUGAGGCCAGCAGAUCGCUUGAGCUCAGGAUUUCUGGGCUGCAGUGGGCUGUGCUGAUCGGGUGUCCACACUAAGUUUGGCAUCAAUACGGUGAUCCCUGGGAAGCUUGGGGUCCCCAGGUCACCUAAGGAGGGGUGAACCAGUCCAGGUCAGAAAUGGAGCAGGUCAAAACUCCCAUGCUGAUCAGUAGUGGGAUCGUGCCUGUGAAUAGCCUCUGCAGUGUAGCCUGGGCAAGAUGGUGAGACACGGUCUCUU
Molecule: signal recognition particle RNA, 300 nt
Filed under: Gopherus evgoodei (Goodes thornscrub tortoise)
Lineage: Eukaryota; Metazoa; Chordata; Testudines; Testudinidae
Description: Metazoan signal recognition particle RNA (ENSGEVG00005011306.1)
Rfam family: Metazoan signal recognition particle RNA
About the family: The signal recognition particle (SRP) is a universally conserved ribonucleoprotein. It is involved in the co-translational targeting of proteins to membranes.
Source: Rfam by way of RNAcentral